UUUACAGCAGGGUGAGGACAGAGUGUUGACCAAUUUCAUUUGGUAGAGGGAAAAAGGUGAAAAGGAGACUGUAUCACACCAGGGCAACCUGCACGAAGAUGCCAAACCAUCUAAUCUAAACAACUUAGAUUUGGAAAGCAACCGUGCAGCCAACCGAUCCAUGUGGCCACCAAGGACCGAUGACGUGAUUCUGGCAUGCCUAAAGUUUGUUUUAGAAGCUGCCUGUCUUCAUUGGGGUAGGUUUUGUGCAAUUCUGUGUACAUGUGCAGUCAGGUCAAAAAAAUGAAGGAAGUGGUUGCAACAGAGUGAAGUAUGUAUCAUAAUGUUCAUUUACAUGAAGUUAAACGCGGCUCACGAUCCAGUCCAAAUGAGCACCAGGUGGCAGUAGUUACAACUGUCUGGGUUUUGGCAGAGAAAUUUCAUACAAAACUCUGUUGCCUGCUGAGACUCUGAUGUUGUGGAAAUUAGACAACACUCGCAGACUCGUCCUCUGAAGGUAAAAAGGUUUAUUACAGGAUAGAAUAAAGCAGGAUAGAAUAAUGAGAGCACUCUAAAGCACCUGUACUAAAUCACUACUACAUAUAUGAAAGGCAGAGCAUGACAUAAUUCUGUGCACCGAUAAGAAGCAGUUUGAGGCAGUUUAAACAGGCUUUGUUUUAGGGUCUUGGAAGAUGUUUAGACAAACCUUGAACAGAAGAACAUGUUUGUGUCUCUGUAAGCAGAUACACAUUCUGUACUGAUCUCAGUGACAUGACAUGGCCUUCCUAGGCGUUAUCCGCUGAUGAGAAUGAAAUAGAACAAGAACAAUCUUAUUACAAAGUAAAAAUGAGUAUUUUCCCUCACAUUUCCCCCAUUUUAUCAUUCCAAAAUAUGAUAACUAAAAUUAACAGAGAAAUUACAAUGCUGUGAAUACAUCAGAACUUCAGAAUCCUUUCACGGUUCAACUGAAUUCAUCAUAAAACAGAAAUAAUGACGGCGCUAAGGGUUGUUGUUUUUUUUGUAGAUAUAAAGUAUCCUGUCAUCAAGC
Long non-coding RNA from Ictalurus punctatus (channel catfish), 1027 nucleotides. NCBI's taxonomy places the organism in Eukaryota, Metazoa, Chordata, Actinopteri, Siluriformes, Ictaluridae. The record is from Ensembl.